AUUCGAUGCAACGCGAAAAACCUUACCUACCCUUGACAUGUCAGGAAGACCGGGGAGAUUUGGUUGUGCCCGAAAGGGAACCUGAACACAGGUGCUGCAUGGCUGUCGUCAGCUCGUGUCGUGAGAUGUUGGGUUAAGUCCCGCAACGAGCGCAACCCUUGUCAUUAGUUGCUACGCAAGAGCACUCUAAUGAGACUGCCGGUGACAAACCGGAGGAAGGUGGGGAUGACGUCAAGUCCUCAUGGCCCUUAUGGGUAGGGCUUCACACGUCAUACAAUGGUACAUACAGAGGGCCGCCAACCCGCGAGGGGGAGCUAAUCCCAGAAAGUGUAUCGUAGUCCGGAUCGUAGUCUGCAACUCGACUACGUGAAGUUGGAAUCGCUAGUAAU
Molecule: ribosomal RNA, 389 nt
Filed under: Acinetobacter baumannii
Lineage: Bacteria; Pseudomonadati; Pseudomonadota; Gammaproteobacteria; Moraxellales; Moraxellaceae
Description: bacterial SSU rRNA
Rfam family: Bacterial small subunit ribosomal RNA
Source: RNAcentral